Rattus norvegicus (Norway rat) is the source of this 2124-nucleotide non-coding RNA. The record is from RefSeq and is a predicted model, not a curated record. Lineage: Eukaryota; Metazoa; Chordata; Mammalia; Rodentia; Muridae.
GGAAGGAACGGUAGUAAAAAAAAAAAGGAAUAAAAUAGGUAGAAGAAGAAAUAAAAGGAAGUAAAGAUUGCCCUAUCAUGUAAACAAAGUAAUCAGAUCAAUGAACUAAGAGAUAAAAACAUAAUUUUAAAAAUAUGCUAAACUAAGCAUGUUUGUAAAAUACAGGAGAGAGAGAGAGAGAGAGAGAGAGAGAGAGAGAGAGAGAGAGAGAGAGAGAGAGAGAGAGGAGAUGAAGAAGCACACAGGGUCUAACGGGAGAAAUAAAGAUUAAAUGCUGGGACAGAGUUUUCUGCAUCUCCUAAUACUGGAGGCUGACAGCCAAUGUACUGGGGAAGAGGGGUAUCACGUGACCUGCCUGACUCCCGCCUCUUCUAUGGUUUAGCCUGGUGUCCAGCGUAUUGGACAAGUAUCUGGUGACACCCUGAGUUGUCCUCUCGCAGAUAUCUUCCUGUAUUUGGGUAACAAGUUCCUCAUCUUUGCCGUCUGUGGGCAGGGCAGCUUCUGUCUUCCUCCCAGGGUUGUUCCGCACAGAGUGGGUGGCAUAGCUGGGCCCGUUCCCGUGCACACGCCUUGGGGAAUAUCGAGUAGAAAUCACAACACAACGCUCUGUUGCAGGCAGAGGAGCUAUAUUUGUACUGAGGAGAUGUGCUAACCUCCGCGCUGGAGGGAUGAGGCAGUGGAUGUCAAGGACUCAGCCAACACUUCUUCUAACAGCAGUGAGCCGCAGUGUUUUCUUAUUCCUGUUUGCACUGAACAGCCCGGCCUCCUGCAUUUUCCUACCAGGGAUUAUUGCCAGGCAGAGGAGAUCAUCAAAAGACAUGGCCAGUUUCCACCACAGAGCCAGGGCAAGCCAGAGACACCAGAAAGGAGGUGAAGCACAGGCCUGAACUAGGUCUGAUGGAAUGCUUACCUCAGAAGUAACCACCCAGGGUUCCUUUAUCCAACUGGUGCAGCUGGCUGAUUCAGUCUUCUCCCUCAAGAAACCGACCUACUGAAGAUAGCAGGGAAGCAUUGCAAGGAAAUUAUCAGGGUAGGGGAGGGAGACCGGUGGAGAAGGGGAAGGGAGGGGUGGGGGAGGGGUGAGGGCGGGGGAAGGAGAGAGGUUGGAGGAGGGGGAGGAGUAGGAGGAGGGAGAAGUAGUGGGGAGGCAGCAGGAUGGAGAGGUCUGGAGGAAGGGUGGUUGGUCCAGCCCCAGCAACUGAGCUGACCUGAGGAAACAGUUUGAAACCCUCAGAGCAGGUAGGGACAGGUAAAGAAAGCCUGUUCUGAGAAAACACUGGGCAAGAGUAACCCUGGGAGAAUCUGAUAAGGACUAGGAACCUUUGAGCUGCCGAAGAACAGAGAAAGCAUUUCCAAGGGCCCGGUGAGAUCUGUGAGCUCUCGAAUUCAGCUGUAUACCCAUAACCAGGUUUGAGAAAAGCUAUGGCCUUCCUGUGGGGACAGCGCACACAUGGAGAAAGGCAGCUGCCAGACAGACACGUGAAAAAAUGUUCAGACGCACACAUACUCCAAAGGAGAUGCUCAUGUGAACAAUGGGAUGCUUGUUUCAACUGAAAUUAACUGAGAGAAAAAGAGGAGCCUUGCACUGGCUCGGGGUGUGUUGAAAGAAGCCCUGUGUGGGGCUGGAAGGCACAGAAACAGCCGGUUAUGUGAAGCCUUGAGCAGACAGUGUGUGUCAGCAACUUUGCAUUUGCUCAUUCCCUUUGGCCCACGCGUUCCAAGCACCUCACCCAAAGAAAUAGCUAGUGAUGUAGAGAGCCGUGAAUGCUAACAUGGUGUUUACAGUGCUGUCCUUCGUAAUGCCGGAUAAGGUCAAUGUCUGACAGUAAUGACCAAAGGAAUUGCUCCUUCCUGCAGUUUAGUCACCUGCAGCCGCUACAACUUCAAUCUACAGAGUUUAUAAACCGGAAACACUGAUGUAGCCAUGUUUAGCAGCAUAAACAUUUGUAUCAAUUACAUGGAAAAAAAUGCAAAAAAAAAAAAAAAGCUUGAAGCUACUGUAUCAAUAUGUAACAGAGUUGUACAGUCUUGGGUUAUAGGCAUUUUUGCUUUUUUUUUUUUCAAAAAAAAUCUUUUUCUUAGUGUUCUUUUUAAGUUAUCCAAAUAAAUUUAAAAAUAUAUAAA